This is a non-coding RNA of Camellia sinensis, 4519 nucleotides long. The record is from RefSeq and is a predicted model, not a curated record. Lineage: Eukaryota; Viridiplantae; Streptophyta; Magnoliopsida; Ericales; Theaceae.
CAUUAUAAAGAUCUUUUUUCAUUUCUUGUUAUGGUAUCAGAGCCCUAGUAGCUCUCACAAGCAAGGUUCAUCAAUGGCUGUUUCACCAUCUUCUUCAACCUCUAUACCACCAAAUCUUAGUUUACUCAUCUCAAAUUUCAAUUCUCUAGUAAUAGUAAAGCUUGAUUCCUUCAAUUUUCUUAUCUAGAAAAAUCAGUUUCAAAAUGUGCUUAGAGCCACAGAUUUGCUUGAUUUUGUAAUUGGAAUGAUUCUAUGUCCAAAACCUCAGAUCCUUGAUGCAUCUGGAACAGUAAUUGCUAAUCCAGAAUUUACGAAGUGGAAAAUCAUAGAUACACAUUUGUUAAGUUGCAUUACUACCACUCUCUCCUCCCUUGUGUUUUCAACUGUUCUCCAUAACCAACAUUGUGCUCAAGUAUGGAGUGCUCUAGAGAAGAGAUUUACCUCACUCUCUCGAUCUCAUAUUCAUCAAUUACAGAAUAAAAUCCAAUCAGUCUCAAAGAAAGGACUCUAAAUGGAGGAGUAUUUGAAUCGGAUCAUAGAUAUUGCAAAUCAACUCAUUCUUGCCUCCGCCGCAGUUGAAGAUGAAGAUCCGGUUUUGUUAACACUCAAUAGAUUACUAGAUGAGUACGAGGCAUUGAAAACUACCAUACAAGCUAGAGUAGAGGCCAUUACUAUGGAGGACUUGUGUUCAUUGCUAUGUUCUGAAGCAAUAUAUGUGGAAAAUAAAACUAAACAUGCUCUUAUCGAUGAUUUGCCAAUGGCUUGUGCUGCAACUAAAGGAUCGGAGUGUAGUUCUGCUUCAUAUCCUCAGUAUACUAGAGGAUACUCAUGGAAAUUCAGGUAGAUAUCAAUUUCAUGGUACUAGAAAAGGAAGAGAUAGAGCUAAUGGAAGGUAUACCAAUCACAGUUUCAGACGUAGGUAUGGAGGAAAUUCAGGGAGAUAUGAAAGUAAUUCUUCACAUACUAGUUGUCAAAUUUGUGAAGGUCAUAAUCAUAGUGCUCUUGAUUGCUAGUUUCGAAUGAAUCCAGUCUAUCGGCCUUCUCAGGCUUCUUCUUCAUCUCACUUUCAGUCCUUUCCUAAUUUUGUACCACACAAUCUAGGGCUUACUCUGUUACUGCAAAUCAAUCUUCUUCUAAUCAGUCCUUUGCUCUAUUUGAAUCACCUACUCCUUGGUACAUAGACUCAGCAGCUACUAAUCAUAUCACAAAUGAUUUGGCUAAUCUCCAACUCUAUUAAACUUACCAAGGCUCAGAUCAAGUCAUUAUUGGUAAUGGUCAAGUUGUUCCCAUUCAACACAUUGGACAAGCAUACGAACAAGGUUAUGCAUCAAGGACCUAAUAUUCAUGGACUCUAUCACUUUGCUCUUUCAUCCUCUUCCAUGAUUGCUUAGGCUCAUGUUACUCAGGCACAAUCACAAGUCUCUGUGUCUAUUUGUCAUCAAAGACUUGGUCACUCUUCUACUUUAAAACUUUAUCAUAUUGUUCAACACUUGCCUGCUACAUUUCACAAUAAAGAUUGUAUUUCAUUAGCUUGCACUUCUUGUAGUGUUGCUAAGAUACAUAGGCUGCCUUUCAAAUUGUCUACUUCUACUGUUAAUAAACCCUUUUCUCUUGUGUAUAGUGAUGUUUGGGGACCAUUUCAUGCUUAUUUGCUUGGAUAUAAAUACUAUCUCUUGUUUGUUGACGAUUUCACAAGGUUUAUUUGGAUUUAUCCUAUUUAUGUUAAGUGUGAAAUCUUUUCCACUUUUCUUGUGUUUAAAGCCUAUGUUGAAAAACAAUUUGACACAUUCUUGAAAAUUCUAAGGACUGAUAAUGGGACUGAGUUUGUUAAUCAUCAAAUGGAUAGUUAUCUUGCUCAAAAUGGUAUUAUUCAUCAUCUCACUUGUCCUUACACUCUAGAACAAAAUGGCAUAGCUGAAAGGAAACAUCAACACAUUGUUGAAACUGCCAUUGUAUUAAUGUAUUAGUCUUGCGUGCCUCUUGCAUACUGGUUUGAAGCUCUAGUUACGGCCAUGUUUCUUAUAAAUAAAAUGCCUAGUUUGUCUCUUCACAAUAAAUCUCCUUUUCAGCUACUCUUCCAUGUACUGGUUUGAAGCUCUAGUUACAGCCAUGUUUCUUAUAAAUAAAAUGCCUAGUUUGUCUCUUCACAAUAAAUCUCCUUUUCAGCUACUCUUCCAUGUUAUACCAGAUUAUGUAUUUUUUUAAGGUGUUUGGUUGCCAAUGUUUUCUUUGGCUUCGGCCUUAUAUUGAUCAUAAACUUCAACCAAGAUCUUCUCCUUGUGUUUUCUUAGGCUAUCAUCCUUCAACUAAAGGAUACAGGUGUUUGGAUCCCUCAAAUGGAAAAAUUUAUUUGUCAAGACAUGUCUUGUUCAAUGAGUCUUGCUUCCCAUUUGCUACUUAUACACCUAGUUCUCCUACUGUACCUACUCUUACAUUCUUUUUCUGGUCUAAUUCUCAGUCUGCAGUCUCUCCAUCACCUAUACUUGCCUCUUGUCCAUCACUCUCUCCAAUAGUCCCUAUAUCUGACCAUUCUAUAGCACCUGUUGCUUCUUCCUCUCAACUUGUAAUUUCUGUUCCUGCGGUACCUGACUUAGCUACAGUUCCUCCUUCUUCUUAUAUUCCUAUUGAGUCUAUCUCUAUUCACCUACCAUUCCUUCAUUUCACUUUUCUUUAAUUAACACUCAUCCUAUGACUGCUAGGUCUAAAGCCUCUACCAGUUCCUUCUUGUCAUCUUACUCACACUCCUCCAGUGGAUCUUUCUUAUACUGAGCCUCAGACUGCUACUCAAGCUUUAACCUCUCAUCAUUGGGUUAAUGCCAUGAAUGAAGAAUUUCAAGCUUUACAUAAACAAGGCACUUGGACUCUUGUUCCUCCCCCUUCUACCAAUCCACCAUUGGUUGUAAGUGGGUGUUUCAUAUUAAAAAGAAUUUUGAUGGCACCAUUGUUAGAUACAAGGCUAGGUUAGUUGCUAAGGGUUAUUUGCAACAAAAAUGUGUGAAUUAUGAUAAAACUUUUAGUCUUGUUGCUAAGCAACCCACUAUCUGAAUUUUCUUGUGUCUUGCUCUUCAACAUUUGUGGCCUCUCAAGCAGUUGGACAUAUCCAAUUCCUUCUUACAUGGAAAAUUGGAUGAAGAAGUUUAUAUGGUGCAACCUCAGGGCUUUGUUGAUUCCAACUUUACUCAUCAUGUGUGCAAACUGAACAAAGCCUUGUAUGGCCUCAAGCAAUCUCCUAGGGCUUGGUAUUCAACCUUCUUCUCUUUCUUACUUACUCAAGCUCUCAGUCAUAGCUAUUCUAAUCCUUCUUUCUUUGUCAAGAAGACAUCUAGUAGUAUCACUAUUCUUCUCAUCUGUGUAGAUGAUAUUUUGCUUACUGGAAGUGAUCCUAGUUUGAUUCAAGUCUUACUUGCUCAGAUGCAUGUGGCAUUUUCCAUGAAGGAACUAGGAGAUGUCUCCUAUUUUUUGGGGAUCUCAGUCCAAUCCCAUUCCACUGGUUAUUUUUAUCUCAGCAAAAGUAUGCUCAAGAGCUGCUACAUAAAGCUAGCAUGGAUCAUUGUAAGCCCUACUCCACAACAAUAACUCUUAAAUCUUCUGCUGUUUUUUCCUCCACUGAUGAGCUUCCUUAUGCUCAGCCUUGCUUUUAUAGAAGCUUAGUUGGUGCAUUACAGUACUUAACCAUUAUUAGGCCUGGCAUUGGCUUUACAGUCAAUCAGGCUUGUCAACAUAUUCAAGCUCCAACCAAUGCCCAUUUUGCACUAGUUAAACACCUGCUGAGAUAUAUUCAAGGAACUGUUUCUCAUGGUCUUAUUUUUAGACAAGGGUCCUAUGAUCUUCAUGCUUUCACUAAUUCCAAUUAGGUAGGGGAGUGCAAGGACAGAAGGUCCACUUCUAGGUUUUGCAUUUAUCUAGGCCCUAAUUUUAUCUCUUGGUCUGCCAAGAAGCAACCCACAGUCUCAAGAUCUUCCACUGAAGCUGAAUAUAGGUCUAUGGCUCACACUACAGUAGAAAUUUGUUGGAUUCAAACAAUUGCUCAAAGAUUUAUCCGUUCCUUCUUCCUCGGUGCCUGUGUUAUGAUGACAAUAUAUCUGCCAUGGCCUUAGCUUCCAAUCCAGUGUUCCAUUCUAAGUCCAAACACAUAGAAGUGGACUAUCAUUUCAUACGAGAAAGAGUGGUUUCUAAGAAAAUCUCUUUCGCUUAUAUUGCUACUAAUGAUCAGAUUACUGAUAUAUUUACUAAGCCCCUCACUUCUUUUCGGUUUCUUUAUCUCAAAUCCAAACUUUUGGUGCUACCCAACCCCAUCAUCUUGAGGGGGGGAUGAUAAGACUAUGAAGCCAUUGUAGCAUUAUCAACAAUUGAAGCCUCAGUCUCAACAGUUGAAGCCUUAGCUUAGUGUAUCAAGUAUAGCUGUAAAUAGAUAUAAAUAUCAAAGUUGUAGUAGUGGUGGUUAGGAUGGAUGAGUUAGAGUUUGUUAUAACAAACUCCUAGCCAACUCUUGUAUCAAGUAUAAAUAGGUGUAUGAUUG